GCGGGGGUUGCCAAGCCAGGUCAAAGGCGCAGGGCUUAGGACCCUGUCCCGUAGGGGUUCGUGGGUUCGAAUCCCACCCCCCGCACCA
Molecule: transfer RNA, 88 nt
Filed under: Crenarchaeota archaeon 13_1_40CM_3_53_5
Lineage: Archaea; Thermoproteati; Thermoproteota
Description: tRNA-Leu
Rfam family: tRNA
About the family: Transfer RNA (tRNA) molecules are approximately 80 nucleotides in length.
Source: RNAcentral